RNAcentral lists this ribosomal RNA (274 nucleotides) under uncultured bacterium. RNAcentral describes it as "partial 16S ribosomal RNA". It matches the Rfam family "Bacterial small subunit ribosomal RNA", at positions 523 to 796 of the family's 1533-position model. The record is from RNAcentral.
AUACGGAGGGUGCAAGCGUUAUCCGGAAUCAUUGGGUUUAAAGGGUCCGUAGGCGGGCUAAUAAUUCAGGGGUGAAAUCCCACAGCUUAACUGUGGAACUGCCCUUGAUACUGUUGGUCUUGAGUUACAGUGAAGUGGUUAGAAUGUGUAGUGUAGCGGUGAAAUGCAUAGAGAUUACACAGAAUACCGAUUGCGAAGGCAGAUCACUAACUGUAUACUGACGCUAAUGGACGAAAGCGUGGGGAGCGAACAGGAUUAGAAACCCCAGUAGUCC